UGAAGCGCGAAAUGUAGUGUGAAUCGCAGGACAUUGUGAAUCAUCGAAUCUUUGAACGCACAUUGCGCCUCCCUCAGAGGGGAGGCAUGCCUGUCUGAGCGUCAUUCGAACCCAUGGGUCUCCCUCCUUGGGGGCCCGUGUUGGGCGUCGCGCGUCGCCGCGUCGCCUCGAACGGAUCGGUCGAGAGGGCGGACGAGAUCCAGUAGGACCCGAGCCGUCCCGAGACCCUAAAAGUCGGAAUUGACCUCAGAUCAGGUAGGGACACCGCCUGAACUUAA
Molecule: unclassified non-coding RNA, 278 nt
Filed under: uncultured Archaeorhizomyces
Lineage: Eukaryota; Fungi; Ascomycota; Archaeorhizomycetes; Archaeorhizomycetales; Archaeorhizomycetaceae
Description: sequence contains ITS1
Rfam family: 5.8S ribosomal RNA (bases 1-104)
Source: RNAcentral